UACGAGAGGCCCAAACGUUAUUCGGAAUUACUGGGCUUAAAGAGUUCGUAGGCGGCGCAGAAAGUAGGGUGUGAAAGCCCUCGGCUUAACCGAGGAAUUGCGCUCUAAACUACUGUGCUUGAGGAAGCUAGAGGUGAGCGGAACUGAUGGUGGAGCGGUGAAAUGCGUUGAUAUCAUCAGGAACACCGGAGGCGAAGGCGGCUCACUGGGGCUUUUCUGACGCUGAGGAACGGAAAGCCAGGGUAGCGAACGGG
RNAcentral lists this ribosomal RNA (254 nucleotides) under uncultured bacterium. Its description in RNAcentral is "partial 16S ribosomal RNA". It matches the Rfam family "Bacterial small subunit ribosomal RNA", at positions 524 to 776 of the family's 1533-position model. The record is from RNAcentral.